This 253-nucleotide ribosomal RNA is filed under the name uncultured bacterium. RNAcentral's name for it is "partial 16S ribosomal RNA". It matches the Rfam family "Bacterial small subunit ribosomal RNA", at positions 524 to 776 of the family's 1533-position model. The record is from RNAcentral.
UACGUAGGGGGCAAGCGUUGUCCGGAAUCAUUGGGCGUAAAGCGCGUGUAGGCGGCUUGGUAAGUCCGCUCUGAAAGCCCGGGGCUCAACCCCGGGAGGCGGGUGGAUACUGCUGAGCUCGAGUCCGGAAGAGGAGUGUGGAAUUCCUGGUGUAGCGGUGAAAUGCGCAGAUAUCAGGAGGAACACCAAUGGCGAAGGCAGCACUCUGGGACGGUACUGACGCUGAGACGCGAAAGCGUGGGGAGCAAACAGG